Molecule: ribosomal RNA, 451 nt
Filed under: uncultured bacterium
Lineage: Bacteria
Description: bacterial SSU rRNA
Rfam family: Bacterial small subunit ribosomal RNA
Source: RNAcentral
AAUGGACGCUGGCGGCAUGCCUAACACAUGCAAGUCGAACGAAGUCUUCGGACUUAGUGGCGCACGGGUGCGUAACGCGUGGGAAUCUGCCCUUGGGUGCGGAAUAACUUCUCGAAAGGGAUGCUAAUACCGCAUAAUGUCGUAAGACCAAAGAUUUAUCGCCCAAGGAUGAGCCCGCGUAAGAUUAGCUAGUUGGUGGGGUAAAAGCCUACCAAGGCGACGAUCUUUAGCUGGUCUGAGAGGAUGAUCAGCCACACUGGGACUGAGACACGGCCCAGACUCCUACGGGAGGCAGCAGUGGGGAAUAUUGGACAAUGGGCGAAAGCCUGAUCCAGCAAUGCCGCGUGAGUGAUGAAGGCCCUAGGGUUGUAAAGCUCUUUUACCAGGGAUGAUAAUGACAGUACCUGGAGAAUAAGCUCCGGCUAAACUCCGUGCCAGUAGCCGCGGUAAU